This 47-nucleotide non-coding RNA is filed under the name Schistosoma mansoni. Lineage: Eukaryota; Metazoa; Platyhelminthes; Trematoda; Strigeidida; Schistosomatidae. The record is from RNAcentral.
AUUAGCUGAUGAGUCCCAAAUAGGACGAAGUAUCGCGCGUCGUGGAU